RNAcentral lists this ribosomal RNA (465 nucleotides) under Vreelandella stevensii. RNAcentral's name for it is "partial 16S ribosomal RNA". It matches the Rfam family "Bacterial small subunit ribosomal RNA", at positions 338 to 795 of the family's 1533-position model. The record is from RNAcentral. Lineage: Bacteria; Pseudomonadati; Pseudomonadota; Gammaproteobacteria; Oceanospirillales; Halomonadaceae.
CCUACGGGAGGCUGCAGUGGGGAAUAUUGGACAAUGGGGGGAACCCUGAUCCAGCCAUGCCGCGUGUGUGAAGAAGGCCCUCGGGUUGUAAAGCACUUUCAGUGAGGAAGAACGCCUGGUGGUUAAUACCCAUCAGGAAAGACAUCACUCACAGAAGAAGCACCGGCUAACUCCGUGCCAGCAGCCGCGGUAAUACGGAGGGUGCGAGCGUUAAUCGGAGUUACUGGGCGUAAAGCGCGCGUAGGUGGCUUGAUAAGCCGGUUGUGAAAGCCCCGGGCUCAACCUGGGAACGGCAUCCGGAACUGUCAAGCUAGAGUGCAGGAGAGGAAGGUAGAAUUCCCGGUGUAGCGGUGAAAUGCGUAGAGAUCGGGAGGAAUACCAGUGGCGAAGGCGGCCUUCUGGACUGACACUGACACUGAGGUGCGAAAGCGUGGGUAGCAAACAGGAUUAGAUACCCGAGUAGUC